This 253-nucleotide ribosomal RNA is filed under the name uncultured bacterium. Its description in RNAcentral is "partial 16S ribosomal RNA". It matches the Rfam family "Bacterial small subunit ribosomal RNA", at positions 524 to 776 of the family's 1533-position model. The record is from RNAcentral.
UACGUAGGGUGCAAGCGUUAAUCGGAUUUAUUGGGCGUAAAGCGUGCGCAGGCGGCUUUGCAAGACAGCUGUGAAAUCCCCGGGCUCAACCUGGGAACUGCAUUUGUGACUGCAAGGCUAGAGUACGGUAGAGGGGGAUGGAAUUCCGCGUGUAGCAGUGAAAUGCGUAGAUAUGCGGAGGAACACCGAUGGCGAAGGCAGUCCCCUGGACCUGUACUGACACUCAUGCACGAAAGCGUGGGGAGCAAACAGG